AUUAUACAGCGAAACUGCGAAUGGCUCAUUAUAUAAGUUAUCGUUUAUUUGAUAGUACCUUACUACUUGGAUAACCGUGGUAAUUCUAGAGCUAAUACAUGCUAAAAAUCCCGACUUACGAAGGGAUGUAUUUAUUAGAUUAAAAACCAAUGCCCUUCGGGGCUCACUGGUGAUUCAUAAUAACUUCUCGAAUCGCAUGGCCUUGCGCCGGCGAUGGUUCAUUCAAAUUUCUUCCCUAUCAACUUUCGAUGCUAGAGUAGUGUUCUAGCAUGGUUACAACGGGUAACGGAGGGUUAGGGCUCGACCCCGGAGAAGGAGCCUGAGAAACGGCUACUACAUCCAAGGAAGGCAGCAGGCGCGCAAAUUACCCAAUCCCGACACGGGGAGGUAGUGACGAUAAAUACUGAUACAGGGCUCUUUUGGGUCUUGUAAUUGGAAUGAGUACAAUUUAAAUCCCUUAACGAGGAACAAUUGGAGGGCAAGUCUGGUGCCAGCAGCCGCGGUAAUUCCAGCUCCAAUAGCGUAUAUUAAAGUUGUUGUGGUUAAAAAGCUCGUAGUAGAACCUUGGGCCUGGCUGGCCGGUCCGCCUCACCGCGUGCACUGGUCCGGCCGGGCCUUUCCCCCUGUGGAACCUCAUGCCCUUCACUGGGUGUGUGGGAAAACAGGACUUUUACUUUGAAAAAAUUAGAGUGCUCCAGGCAGGCCUAUGCUCGAAUACAUUAGCAUGGAAUAAUAGAAUAGGACGUGUGGUUCUAUUUUGUUGGUUUCUAGGACCGCCGUAAUGAUUAAUAGGGACAGUCGGGGGCAUCAGUAUUCAAUUGUCAGAGGUGAAAUUCUUGGAUUUAUUGAAGACUAACUACUGCGAAAGCAUUUGCCAAGGAUGUUUUCAUUUAUCAGGAACGAAAGUUAGGGGAUCGAAGACGAUCAGAUACCGUCGUAGUCUUAACCAUAAACUAUGCCGACUAGGGAUCGGACGAUGUUAUUUUUUGACUCGUUCGGCACCUUACGAGAAAUCAAAGUGCUUGGG
RNAcentral lists this ribosomal RNA (1027 nucleotides) under Colletotrichum gloeosporioides. Its description in RNAcentral is "SSU rRNA". It matches the Rfam family "Eukaryotic small subunit ribosomal RNA", at positions 73 to 1111 of the family's 1831-position model. Lineage: Eukaryota; Fungi; Ascomycota; Sordariomycetes; Glomerellales; Glomerellaceae. The record is from RNAcentral.